This 317-nucleotide ribosomal RNA is filed under the name uncultured bacterium. RNAcentral describes it as "bacterial SSU rRNA". It matches the Rfam family "Bacterial small subunit ribosomal RNA", at positions 28 to 334 of the family's 1533-position model. The record is from RNAcentral.
GAUAAACGCUGGCGGCGUGCCUAAUACAUGCAAGUCGAGCGAACCGACGAGGUGCUUGCACCUUUGACGUUAGCGGCGAACGGGUGAGCAACACGUAAGGAAUCUACCUAUAAGUGGGGGAUAACAUCCGGAAACGGGUGCUAAUACCGCAUAAUAACCGACACCACAUGGUGUAAGUUUGAAAGAUGGCUCUGCUGUCACUUAUAGAUGACCUUGCGGUGCAUUAGCUAGUUGGUAAGGUAACGGCUUACCAAGGCAAUGAUGCAUAGCCGAGUUGAGAGACUGAUCGGCCACAUUGGGACUGAGACACGGCCCAA